GACGGAAGGUGCAAGCGUUGCUCGGAAUCACUGGGCGUAAAGGGUGCGUAGGCGGCUUGGUGGGUCUGGUGUGAAAGCCCCGGGCUCAGCCCGGGGAAGGGCACUAGAAAACUGCCGAGCUGGAGUGCCGGAGGGGAGAGUGGAAUUCCUGGUGUAGCGGUGAAAUGCGUAGAUAUCAGGAGGAACACCUGCGGUGUAGACGGCUUACUGGACGGUAACUGACGCUGAGGCACGAAAGCGUGGGUAGCAAACAGG
Molecule: ribosomal RNA, 255 nt
Filed under: uncultured bacterium
Lineage: Bacteria
Description: partial 16S ribosomal RNA
Rfam family: Bacterial small subunit ribosomal RNA
Source: RNAcentral